AUACGGAGGGUGCAAGCGUUAAUCGGAAUUACUGGGCGUAAAGCGUACGUAGGCGGUUCGUUAAGUUAGAUGUGAAAGCCCCGGGCUUAACCUGGGAACUGCAUUUAAAACUGGCGAACUAGAGUUGAGUAGAGGGGAGUGGAAUUUCAGGUGUAGCGGUGAAAUGCGUAGAGAUCUGAAGGAACACCAGUGGCGAAGGCGACUCCCUGGACUCAAACUGACGCUGAGGUACGAAAGCGUGGGUAGCAAACGGGAUUAGAUACCCUAGUAGUCC
This 274-nucleotide ribosomal RNA is filed under the name uncultured bacterium. Its description in RNAcentral is "partial 16S ribosomal RNA". It matches the Rfam family "Bacterial small subunit ribosomal RNA", at positions 523 to 796 of the family's 1533-position model. The record is from RNAcentral.